Molecule: transfer RNA, 65 nt
Filed under: Coralliophila richardi
Lineage: Eukaryota; Metazoa; Mollusca; Gastropoda; Neogastropoda; Muricidae
Description: tRNA-Met
Source: RNAcentral
UGUAAGAUAAGCUAAGUUUUAAGCUGUUGGGCUCAUGCCCCAAAUAUGAACUAUUUCUUUUACCU